This 89-nucleotide ribosomal RNA is filed under the name Halomonas mongoliensis. RNAcentral also lists the same sequence under 1 other name. Lineage: Bacteria; Pseudomonadati; Pseudomonadota; Gammaproteobacteria; Oceanospirillales; Halomonadaceae. The record is from RNAcentral.
CCUGAUCCCAUGCCGAACUCAGCAGUGAAACCGCUCAGCGCCGAUGGUAGUGUGGGGUCUCCCCAUGUGAGAGUAGGUCAUCGUCAGGC